AAUAUAACGGGGCUAAGCAUGCAACCGAAGCUUAGGAUUGUUCUUAGAACAGUGGUAGGGGAGCGUCGUGUACGGGGUGAAGUCUGAGCGGAAGCACAGGUGGACUGUACAGGAGUGAGAAUGCCGGAAUGAGUAGCGAGAAUUAUGUGGGAAUCAUAAUGGCCGAAAAUCUAAGGUUUCUUGGGGAAGGUUCGUCCGCCCAAGGUAAGCCGGGAGCUAAGGCGAGGCCGAAAGGCGUAGUCGAUGCACAUACGGUUGAAAUUCCGUAGCCGCCGAAAUUGUUAAGCACAGGGACACAUAGAGAUAUCCGAACCCGGGCGUUGGUCGACCCGGGCGCAAGGGACCGAACAUCAGUAGGGAAGUCGGAGAUGCUCUGUGGCGAGAAAAGCUGUGUGUAUUUCUGCGGUGCCCGUACCGCAAACCGACACAGGUAGAUGAGGAGAGAAUCCUAAGGCCAACGGGAGAAGGGUUGUUAAGGAACUCGGCAAAUUGACCCCGUAACUUCGGGAGAAGGGGUGCUCCAGAGAUGGAGCCGCAGAGAAUCGGCCCAAGCAACUGUUUACCAAAAACACAGGUUUGUGCUAAAUCGAAAGAUGACGUAUACGAGCUGACGCCUGCCCGGUGCUGGAAGGUUAAGAGGAGAUGUGCAAGCAUUGAAUCGAAGCCCCAGUGAACGGCGGCCGUAACUAUAACGGUCCUAAGGUAGCGAAAUUCCUUGUCAGGUAAGUUCUGACCCGCAUGAAAGGCGUAAUGAUUUGGGCACUGUCUCAACAGCCCGCCCGGCGAAAUUGUAGUACUGGUGAAGAUGCCAGUUACCCGCAACUAGACGGAAAGACCCCAUGGAGCUUUACUGUAGCCUAAUAUUGGGUUUCGAUGUUGCAUGCACAGGAUAGAUGGGACACAGGGAAACAAUCGCUUUGGCGGUUGCGGAGUGGCCGUUGGGAUACCAUCCUUGCGAUAUUGGAAUUCUAACCUGCGGCUCUGAAUCGAGUCGGGGGACAUUGUUAGGUGGGCAGUUUGACUGGGGCGGUCGCCUCCAAAAAGGUAACGGAGGCGCUCAAAGGUUCGUUCAGCACGGACGGAAAUCGUGCAUUGAGUGUAAACGCAUAAACGAGCCUAACUGCGAGACCGACGGGUCGAGCAGUAACGAAAGUUGGAGUUAGUGAUCCGGUGGUAUGUGAGUGGAAAUGCCAUCGCUCAACGGAUAAAAGCUACCCUGGGGAUAACAGGCUGAUCUCCCCCAAGAGUCCACAUCGACGGGGAGGUUUGGCACCUCGAUGUCGGCUCAUCGCAUCCUGGGGCUGUAGCAGGUCCCAAGGGUUGGGCUGUUCGCCCAUUAAAGCGGUACGCGAGCUGGGUUCAGAACGUCGUGAGACAGUUCGGUCCCUAUCUGUCGUGGGCGCAGGAUAUUUGAUGGGAGCUGUUCCUAGUACGAGAGGACCGGAGUGGACGGAUCAACGGUGUACCAGUUGUCACGCCAGUGGCACGGCUGGAAAGCCGCAUCCGGAAAGGAUAAACGCUGAAAGCAUCUAAGCGUGAAGCCGACCCAAAGAUAAGAUAUCCCAUUGUUUCAAACAAGUAAGACCCCUUGAAGACUACAAGGUUGAUAGGCACGAUGUGUAAGUGGAGUGAUCCAUUCAGCAAGCGUGUACUAAUAGGUCGAGGGCUUGACCAC
RNAcentral lists this ribosomal RNA (1675 nucleotides) under human gut metagenome. RNAcentral describes it as "bacterial LSU rRNA". It matches the Rfam family "Bacterial large subunit ribosomal RNA", at positions 1169 to 2925 of the family's 2925-position model. The record is from RNAcentral.